AGUAAAAACUGCGUUAACUGUGUUAUUGCUGCGGAUGAUUGCAAUUCUGACAUUGACAACAUUGGUGAUAUUAAUAACAUUGGUGAUAUUAAUAACAUUGUUGACAUUAACAACAUUGGUGACAUUAACAACAGUGGUGACAUUAACAACAUUGGUGACAUUAAUAACAUUGGUGAUAUUAACAACAUUGGUGACAUUAACAACAUUGGUGACAUUAACAACAGUGGUGACAUUAACAACAUUGGUGACAUUAACAACAUUGUUGACAUUAACAACAUUGGUGACAUUAACAACAUUGGUGACAUUAACAACAGUGGUGACAUUAACAGCAGUAGUGACACUAAAAAAAGCAACGACAAAAGAAUGAAAACAUCUUCUUACUCAUAUAGCGAUGCUUAUGCAAAUUACAAUAAUAUUAACAACAUAUGUAAAAACGUGAACACGUUAAAUUACAAUAAUAAUAAAAUAACACAUAAAAAACUUAUAAAUAAUAAACAGAAAGAAAGUGUUAUAAACACUUUUAUGCAAAGUAAUCAUAAGGAACAAAUUUCAACAGAACAUCAGUUAAACGUUGACACAACAUCAGAUCCAUACGCAUAUCCAAAAGUACAUGAUGCAUCAAAUAAACAAAAAAAAACAAAAAAAAAACAUAUAUUGUUAUUUAAAUCACAUGAUACAAAAAAAAAUAUUAAUCAAAAAAUACACCAGAGUUAUUCUUCUGACUUAUGUAACAUUCAAGGUAUUAACAAAUAUGACAUAAGUUCUACUAUGAAUAUAAAAUGUGGUGUAGCUGUUAGUUCUGCUACUAUUGUUUGUGUAAAUACCUAUCACAAUAGACAUAUUUCCAUGUCUCCAAUUGUUAAUAACAUAAUUAUUGCUUGUAAUUAUAUAUUCAACAAAUAUAGUAUAAAAAAAAAAAUAAUUUUUCAUUUAGGAAACAAUCAUAUCAAUUUUACAACUAAUGAUAAAGUAGUUAACGAUAAUAAUGAAGUUGUUUAUUUUUGUAUUUAUCUGAAGGAUGAGAAACAAAAUUUAUAUAAAAAAGAGAAGGAUAAUCAAAAUACCACACUUAAAAAACAUAAAUCACAAAAAGUGUACACAGAAAACUCAUUAUUUUAUAAAAAAAAAC
RNAcentral lists this long non-coding RNA (1129 nucleotides) under Piliocolobus tephrosceles (Ugandan red Colobus). RNAcentral describes it as "lncRNA (ENSPTEG00000000127.1)". Lineage: Eukaryota; Metazoa; Chordata; Mammalia; Primates; Cercopithecidae. The record is from RNAcentral.